CAGCCGCCGCGGUAAUACGUAGGUGGCAAGCGUUGUCCGGAAUUAUUGGGCGUAAAGGGCUCGCAGGCGGUUUCUUAAGUCUGAUGUGAAAGCCCCCGGCUCAACCGGGGAGGGUCAUUGGAAACUGGGAAACUUGAGUGCAGAAGAGGAGAGUGGAAUUCCACGUGUAGCGGUGAAAUGCGUAGAGAUGUGGAGGAACACCAGUGGUGAAGGCGACUCUCUGGUCUGUAACUGACGCUGAGGAGCGAAAGCGUGGGGAGCGAACAGGAUUAGAUACCCCGGUAGUCCCUGUCUCUUAUAC
This 301-nucleotide ribosomal RNA is filed under the name uncultured bacterium. RNAcentral describes it as "partial 16S ribosomal RNA". It matches the Rfam family "Bacterial small subunit ribosomal RNA", at positions 509 to 807 of the family's 1533-position model. The record is from RNAcentral.